Molecule: long non-coding RNA, 1784 nt
Organism: Bos taurus (domestic cattle)
Lineage: Eukaryota; Metazoa; Chordata; Mammalia; Artiodactyla; Bovidae
Source: Ensembl
UUCUCAAAUGCCUGACAGUGAUAUUUUUCCCGUGUACUAUUUUUGAGGUCUCUCCUUUUUUUUAUUUUUGGCUGUGCCACCCACAGCAUGUGGGAUCUUAGUUCCCCAGCCAGGGAUUGAACCCAAGCCCCUUGCAGUGGAAGCUAGGAGUCUUAACCACUGGACCACUAGGAGGGAAGUCUCUCUUUCGCUCUUUUUUUUUUCUUUAUUCCUUCCUUGCACAAGUAAUUACCGACCUCUGCCACAACCAACCCCAGGAGUUCGCUUCCUGCAGUAAUGGCCGCCUCUCUCCCUGGGCUCUCCCUUUGGAAAUAAACAUUCCUGGAAACCCUGACCCAAGACUGCCAAUUUCUAGCAAUGGCAACCCACUCCAGUGUUCUUGCCUGGAGAAUCCCAGGGAAGGGGGAGCCUGGUGGGCUGCUGUCUAUGGGGUCGCACAGAGUCGGACACGACUGAAGUGACUUAGCAGCAGCAGCAGCGUAGUUUCUAGAGCUUUCUGCGUGGGGGAUGAUUGCUUAAGGAGCUGCUAAGCAGAACAGAUGCUGUCUUGAAUUUUUCCUUCAGAAAAAACAGACUUUAAACCAACGGCUGCUUCUAAAUUACUUAUGAAACUAAUUUUUUCUUUAUUGAUUUUCACCUCCAUUUCCUGUUUUGUUUUUUUUUUCAGUUUCUGUACCUUCUAACACAACAUUGUUACCAUGUGUUUAUGGUUAUUAAAACUUUUAUUUAUCUAUUUGCAUUCUCACAGCAAAUGAGAGACUACAUGUAAACAGCCUUUUGUAACUGAAAUAUUAUGUAACCCUAGAGUUUAAAAAAACUUUUUUUCUGCUUGCUUUUUAUUUUAGCAAAGGACUUGUAAGCAAAGAACUGUUACAAUUCAAUAAUAAGGAGGAAGGCAAUCUAUUUUUUUUUAAACAGGCAAAAGAUUUGAAUUUGAACGGAUACCUUGUGAAAGAAAAGAAUGGCCAAUAAGUAUGCGAUAAAGUUUCAAUGUCAUUUGUCAUCGGGAAAAGGCAAAUUAAAACUCUAAUGAGAUGGUUCUAACUGUGGACUGGAAACAAGUGCAAAAAUGUGAGCUGUGAGCACAGUAGCAUUUAUUCAGUGUUCCAGUGAGAAUGACAGCCUGGGAGACGGCUUCUCGAUGAAUUCCCAUGAUUUACUUUUGCAAGACUGAAGUUUCAAGUUGCAGUAAAAACAAAAAUCAUAUUUAUAACAAGAAAAAAGUUAAACAUAAAAUGAUCUGCCCCUUGACCUCACCUCUCUGCACUGCGCAUUAUGUGUCUGCCUUAGGCAUCAACUGAAGCUCCCCUAUAAGCAGAAAUACCUGCUCAGCCAUAAACAGCAACAUUCUCCCUGUACCAAUAGAUAACUCCUCAAGAGAUAACAUUCCUUCUUGAUCUUGUAAAGGGUCACAUGAGCCACUACGAUGGCACUUCAGUCUGGAAUUGGCAAACUAUCAAUAGUAUGUCAUUUAAUGUACAGCCCUCUGUCUCAAAAAUGUCUUAAAUAAGCUAUGUCUUGACUCCUAGUGGGAGGGACAGUUCUCAGAGCUUUCUGAGAUGCUCUUCCCAGGUUAUAGUCCUCAAAUUUGUCUGGAAUAAAUUUUCCAAUUUUUUUCUUAGAUCGACUGAUUAUGUUUUCAUUGACAUUACCAAAAUCUGAGGACACUAUUUUAUUUUAUUUUGGUCGCACUCUGUGGCAUGUGGGAUCUCAGUUCCCCUUCCAAUAUCCCCUGCGUUGGAAGGGCAGAAUCUUAACCACUGGAUCAACCAGCAAAGUCCCUG